GUUAGGAAUAUUGGACAAUGGGCGAAAGCCUGAUCCAGCCAUGCCGCGUGAACGAUGAAGGCCUUCGGGUUGUAAAGUUCUUUAGCCGAUGAUUAUAAUGACUGUAGUCGGAAAAUAAGCCCCGGCUAACUUCGUGCCAGCAGCCGCGGUAAUACGAAGGGGGCGAGCGUUAUUCGGAAUCACUGGGCGUAAAGCGUGCGUAGGCGGUUUUGUAAGUUAGGAGUGAAAGCCCAGGGCUCAACCUUGGAAUUGCUCUUAAAACUGCAAGGCUCGAAUCUCGGAGAGGAUAGUGGAAUUUCCAGUGUAGCAGUGAAAUGCGUAGAUAUUGGAAGGAACACCAGUGGCGUAAGCGGCUAUCUGGACGAGUAUUGACGCUGAGGCACGAAAGCGUGGGGAUCAAACAGGAUUAGAAACCCCGGUAGUCC
RNAcentral lists this ribosomal RNA (425 nucleotides) under uncultured bacterium. RNAcentral's name for it is "partial 16S ribosomal RNA". It matches the Rfam family "Bacterial small subunit ribosomal RNA", at positions 354 to 796 of the family's 1533-position model. The record is from RNAcentral.